Molecule: ribosomal RNA, 462 nt
Filed under: uncultured bacterium
Lineage: Bacteria
Description: bacterial SSU rRNA
Rfam family: Bacterial small subunit ribosomal RNA
Source: RNAcentral
UCCUGGCUCAGAUUGAACGCUGGCGGCAUGCUUUACACAUGCAAGUCGAACGGGGUUGGGAGCUUGCUUCCAAUCUAGUGGCGAACGGGUGAGUAAUACAUCGGAACGUACCGUGUAGUGGGGGAUAACGUAGCGAAAGUUACGCUAAUACCGCAUACGAUCCACGGAUGAAAGCAGGGGACCUUCGGGCCUUGUGCUAUACGAGCGGCCGAUGUCUGAUUAGCUAGUUGGUGAGGUAAAGGCUCACCAAGGCGACGAUCAGUAGCGGGUCUGAGAGGAUGAUCCGCCACACUGGGACUGAGACACGGCCCAGACUCCUACGGGAGGCAGCAGUGGGGAAUUUUGGACAAUGGGCGCAAGCCUGAUCCAGCCAUGCCGCGUGUCUGAAGAAGGCCUUCGGUUGUAAGGACUUUGUCAGGAGCGAAACUACUAGGUUAAUACCUGGUGAGGUUGAGAGUACCU